CGCGCAGGCGGCCAGGCCAGUCGGAGGUGAAAUCCCUCGGCUCAACCGAGGAACUGCCUCCGAUACUGCAUGGCUUGAGUCCCGGAGAGGGUAGCGGAAUUCCUAGUGUAGCGGUGAAAUGCGUAGAUAUUAGGAGGAACACCAGUGGCGAAGGCGGCUACCUGGACGGGUACUGACGCUGAGGCGCGAAAGCGUGGGGAGCAAACA
RNAcentral lists this ribosomal RNA (207 nucleotides) under uncultured bacterium. RNAcentral's name for it is "partial 16S ribosomal RNA". It matches the Rfam family "Bacterial small subunit ribosomal RNA", at positions 568 to 774 of the family's 1533-position model. The record is from RNAcentral.